This 30-nucleotide non-coding RNA is filed under the name Mus musculus (house mouse). The record is from RNAcentral. Lineage: Eukaryota; Metazoa; Chordata; Mammalia; Rodentia; Muridae.
UAGACAUUAUACACAGCAGGGUGACCCACA